CACGUAGGGGGCAAGCGUUGUCCGGAUUUAUUGGGCGUAAAGAGCUCGUAGGCGGCUCAGUAAGUCAGGUGUGAAACCUCCAGGCUCAACCUGGAGACGCCACCUGAUACUGCUGUGGCUAGAGUCCGGUAGGGGAGCGUGGAAUUCCUGGUGUAGCGGUGAAAUGCUUAGAUAUCGGGUGGAACACCAGUGGCGAAGGCGGUGCUCUGGGACGGUACUGACGCUGAGACGCGAAAGCGUGGGGAGCGAACAGG
RNAcentral lists this ribosomal RNA (254 nucleotides) under uncultured bacterium. RNAcentral's name for it is "partial 16S ribosomal RNA". It matches the Rfam family "Bacterial small subunit ribosomal RNA", at positions 524 to 776 of the family's 1533-position model. The record is from RNAcentral.